GGCCCUUUCGUCUAGUGGUUAGGACACAGGAUUUUCAUUCCUGCAACAAGAGUUCGAUUCUCUUAAGGGCUA
Transfer RNA from Weissella oryzae SG25, 72 nucleotides. It matches the Rfam family "tRNA". From Rfam's summary of the family: Transfer RNA (tRNA) molecules are approximately 80 nucleotides in length. Their secondary structure includes four short double-helical elements and three loops (D, anti-codon, and T loops). Further hydrogen bonds mediate the characteristic L-shaped molecular structure. tRNAs have two regions of fundamental functional importance: the anti-codon, which is responsible for specific mRNA codon recognition, and the 3' end, to which the tRNAs corresponding amino acid is attached (by aminoacyl-tRNA synthetases). tRNAs cope with the degeneracy of the genetic code in two manners: having more than one tRNA (with a specific anti-codon) for a particular amino acid; and 'wobble' base-pairing, i.e. permitting non-standard base-pairing at the 3rd anti-codon position. NCBI's taxonomy places the organism in Bacteria, Bacillati, Bacillota, Bacilli, Lactobacillales, Lactobacillaceae. The record is from Rfam.